GAUGAACGCUGGCGGCGUGCCUAAUACAUGCAAGUCGAGCGAACAGACGAGGAGCUUGCUCCUCUGACGUUAGCGGCGGACGGGUGAGUAACACGUGGAUAACCUACUUAUAAGACUGGGAUAACUUCGGGAAACCGGAGCUAAUACCGGAUAAUAUAUUGAACCGCAUGGUUCAAUAGUGAAAGACGGUUUUGCUGUCACUUAUAGAUGGUUCCGCGCCGCAUUAGCUAGUUGGUAAGGUAACGGCUUACCAAGGCGACGAUGCGUAGCCGACCUGAGAGGGUGAUCGGCCACACUGGAACUGAGACACGGUCCAGACUCCUACGGGAGGCAGCAGUAGGGAAUCUUCCGCAAUGGGCGAAAGCCUGACGGAGCAACGCCGCGUGAGUGAUGAAGGUCUUCGGAUCGUAAAGCUCUGUUAUUAGGGAAGAACAACUGUGUAAGUAACUAUGCACGUCUUGACGGUACCUAAUCAGAAAGCAACGGCUAACUACGUG
This 497-nucleotide ribosomal RNA is filed under the name uncultured bacterium. RNAcentral's name for it is "partial 16S ribosomal RNA". It matches the Rfam family "Bacterial small subunit ribosomal RNA", at positions 28 to 507 of the family's 1533-position model. The record is from RNAcentral.